UUUGGUACCCUGGGCGCAGCCUGAUCCAGCCAUACCGCGUGGGUGAAGAAGGCCUUCGGGUUGUAAAGCCCUUUUGUUGGGAAAGAAAUCCAGCCGGCUAAUACCUGGUUGGGAUGACGGUACCCAAAGAAUAAGCACCGGCUAACUUCGUGCCAGCAGCCGCGGUAAUACGAAGGGUGCAAGCGUUACUCGGAAUUACUGGGCGUAAAGCGUGCGUAGGUGGUCGUUUAAGUCUGUUGUGAAAGCCCUGGGCUCAACCUGGGAACUGCAGUGGAAACUGGACGACUAGAGUGUGGUAGAGGGUAGCGGAAUUCCUGGUGUAGCAGUGAAAUGCGUAGAGAUCAGGAGGAACAUCCAUGGCGAAGGCAGCUACCUGGACCAACACUGACACUGAGGCACGAAAGCGUGGGGAGCAAACAGGAUUAGAUACCCUGGUAGUCCACGCCCUAAACGAUGCGAACUGGAUGUUGGGUGCAAUUUGGCACGCAGUAUCGAAGCUAACGCGUUAAGUUUCGCCG
This 518-nucleotide ribosomal RNA is filed under the name uncultured bacterium. RNAcentral describes it as "bacterial SSU rRNA". It matches the Rfam family "Bacterial small subunit ribosomal RNA", at positions 359 to 871 of the family's 1533-position model. The record is from RNAcentral.